CUGGCUCAGGAUGAACGCUAGCUACAGGCUUAACACAUGCAAGUCGAGGGGCAGCAUGGUCUUAGCUUGCUAAGGCUGAUGGCGACCGGCGCACGGGUGAGUAACGCGUAUCCAACCUUCCCCUUAGUAGGGCAUAGCCCGGCGAAAGUCGGAUUAAUACCCUAUGUUUUCCAAUGAGGACAUCUGAGCUGGAACAAAGAUUGAUCGCUAAGGGAUGGGGAUGCAUCUGAUUAGGUAGUAGGCGGGGUAACGGCCCACCUAGCCUACGAUCAGUAGGGGUUCUGAGAGGAAGGUCCCCCACAUUGGAACUGAGACACGGUCCAAACUCCUACGGGAGGCAGCAGUGAGGAAUAUUGGUCAAUGGGCGCGAGCCUGAACCAGCCAAGUAGCGUGCAGGAUGACGGCCCUAUGGGUUGUAAACUGCUUUUAUGCGGGGAUAAAGUGAGGGACGUGUCCCUUUUUGUAGGUACCGCAUGAAUAAGGACCGGCUAAUUCCGUGCCAGCCGCAGC
RNAcentral lists this ribosomal RNA (510 nucleotides) under uncultured bacterium. RNAcentral's name for it is "bacterial SSU rRNA". It matches the Rfam family "Bacterial small subunit ribosomal RNA", at positions 19 to 518 of the family's 1533-position model. The record is from RNAcentral.